RNAcentral lists this transfer RNA (63 nucleotides) under Porotermes adamsoni (Australian dampwood termite). RNAcentral's name for it is "tRNA-Ala". The record is from RNAcentral. Lineage: Eukaryota; Metazoa; Arthropoda; Insecta; Blattodea; Termopsidae.
GGGGUAGUAGUUAAACAUAACAUUUGGGUUGCAUCUGAAAAGUACUGUAAAACAGUCUAUCUC